GGAAGGAUCAUUAGCACUCGAGGAUUUGUUUCCUUUUGGCUCUAUGUGGAUUUGGCAUUGUGUUAUUAUGUGUGUGAUUUCUUGUAAACCUAAUGUAUAUAUAUUCUUCUAAUGGACAUUGAAAUAAACAAUGAACAACUCUUAGCAAUGGAUAUCUUGGUUCCCGCAACGAUGAAGAACGCAGCGAAAUGCGAUACGUAAUGCGAAUUGCAGAAUUCAGUGAAUCAUCAAAUUUUUGAACGCAUGUUGCGCUCGGGAGAGCCCUUCCGAGCAUGCUUCUUUGAGUGUCGGUUUCCAUUUCUCACCCGGUGAGGAGACUGAGAUGUCGGCGGGGUUGCCGUCUCUUGAAUUCUUUUGCAAAGUCCAUGCGAUUCUUGGUUGAUUGAUAGUCGUUUAUGGCAAUCUGUGUGUGUGUGUGUGGUGUGUGUGUGUAUGUGUCUCGUACAUGUACGUUACAGCACACCCCGCACCCGCCCACAGAAACCACACACAAGAUCUCAAAUGAAGUAAGACUACCCGCUGAAUUUAAGCAUAUAAUUAAGCGGAGGAAAAGAAACUAACUAGGAUUCCCUUAGUAACGGCGAGUGAAGCGGGAAGAGCUCAAACCGAAAAUCUCUGUCCUCGUGGCAGCGAAUUGUGGUCUAUGGAGACGCGUUCAGUGUGCGACACCGGCCCAAGUCCGUUGGAAGACGGCGUCAGAGAGGGUGACAAUCCCGUAUCUGGCUGGAUGAUCGCCGCGUACGAACCGCUCUCUAAGAGUCGGGUUGCUUGGGAGUGCAGCCCUAAGUGGGUCGUAAAUUUGAUCCAAAGCUAAAUACAUGCGGGAGACCGAUAGCGAACAAGUACCGUGAGGGAAAGAUGAAAAGAACUUUGAAAAGAGAGUCAAAAGUACUUGAAAUUGCUGAGAUCGAAGGGAUGGCAACUAGUAUUGGCGCGGCGAUUUUACCGAGAGGCUCGGUGCGGGUGUCGGGUGUCGCGAUUGGCGCAAGCCUUCGUCGCCGGGCGCCUCGUGCCGGUCGAUCGAGUCCUGUCGCCGGGCUUAGGUCAGGAUGGAUUCGGAGUGGUCGAUAAGGGCCGCGGGAAGGUGGCUUCCGGGCGACCGGAAGAGCUUACAGACCGCGGUCGAUGGAUCGCUUCGGAUCGAGGUGCCGAACUGGUCGCUUUCGGGCUGGCCGCUCUGGCCGAUGGUCGGGUGUCGUGGCGGGGGAGCAAUGCUCUGCCGUCGCUGGCAGUCGCCAGAGGUCAGCCAGCGGACCUGGGACAGUUGGGAUUCUGACGAAAUGGUUGUCAUUCACCCGUCUUGAAACACGGACCAAGGAGUCUUACAUAUAUGCGAGUGAUCGGGUGGCAAACUCGUUCGCGGAUUGAAGGAGAUUCUGGAUGGUGCGAUGGGGGCAGCGAUGCUCCCUGCAGCGCCGGGCGGCUAAGACAAUUGUACGACCCCGAGCAUAUCUGUAGGGACCCGAAAGAUGGUGAACUAUGCUUGAGCAAGAUGAAGCCAGGGGAAACUCUGGUGGAAGUCUGAAGCGAUACUGACGUGCAAAUCGUUCGUCUGACUUGAGUAUAGGGGCGAAAGACUAAUCGAACCAUCUAGUAGCUGGUUCCUUC
This 1608-nucleotide unclassified non-coding RNA is filed under the name uncultured fungus. RNAcentral describes it as "sequence contains 18S rRNA gene, ITS1, 5.8S rRNA gene, ITS2, 28S rRNA gene". The stretch from base 493 to 1608 matches the Rfam family "Eukaryotic large subunit ribosomal RNA", at positions 1 to 961 of the family's 3401-position model. The record is from RNAcentral. Lineage: Eukaryota; Fungi.